RNAcentral lists this ribosomal RNA (776 nucleotides) under uncultured Neocallimastigales. RNAcentral's name for it is "partial large subunit ribosomal RNA". It matches the Rfam family "Eukaryotic large subunit ribosomal RNA", at positions 24 to 627 of the family's 3401-position model. The record is from RNAcentral. Lineage: Eukaryota; Fungi; Neocallimastigomycota; Neocallimastigomycetes; Neocallimastigales.
UAUCUCUGUAGAGUCUGCAUAUCAAUAAGCGGAGGAAAAGAAACUAACUAAGGAUUCCCUCAGUAACGGCGAGUGAAGCGGGAAGAGCUCAAAUUUGAAAUCUUCAAGGGUUCUACCUUGACGAAUUGUAGUUUAUAGAAGUGUUUUCUGUUGGAGUUUUGGUAAAAGUUCUUUGGAAUAGGACAUCAUAGAGGAUGAGAAUCCCGUAUUUGACCAUUAUUUCCAACUUUGUGAUACACUUUCAAAGAGUCGGAUUGUUUGGGAAUGCAGUCCAAAAUGGGUGGUAAAUUUCAUCUAAAGCUAAAUACUGGCGAGAGACCGAUAGCGAACAAGUACCGUGAGGGAAAGAUGAAAAGAACUUUGAAAAGAGAGUUAAACAGUACGUGAAAUUGUCAAAAGGGAAGCGUUUGACACCAGUGUUGUCUUCUCGAAAAUCAAUUAAAAAUGGCGGGAUUUUGUGUUGUAUUGACUUUAUCAGCUUUCUGCACUUUUUUCCUGUCCUUUUUAAUGCACUUUUCGUUUAACAAGUCAACAUCAAUUUCUUUUGUUGUAAAAGGGUCAUUGGAAGGUGGCUUUCUUUUCGGAGAAAGUGUUUAUAGCCUUUGGCCUCUGCAAUCGGAGAGAUUGAGGUCUGCAGCGUAGAUCCUUCGGGGUUAGAUACAUUUGUGCUAAGCUAUAGCCUUUCAUAGACAACUUGUUGACUAUGAUCAGUCAUGUAGCUUACUCGCUUAUGCUAUUUUACCUACGCUUAGGAUGUUGAUGUGAUACUGCGAGCA